This is a non-coding RNA of Acanthosepion pharaonis, 89 nucleotides long. NCBI's taxonomy places the organism in Eukaryota, Metazoa, Mollusca, Cephalopoda, Sepiida, Sepiidae. The record is from the annotation of a GenBank genome assembly.
GUUAAAACACUGGUUCCUACAAGAUCACCGAAGUUAAGCAACGUCGAGCCUGGUCAUUACCUAGAUGGGUGACCGCUUGGGAAUACCAG